This 735-nucleotide ribosomal RNA is filed under the name Bacillus sp. (in: firmicutes). RNAcentral's name for it is "bacterial SSU rRNA". It matches the Rfam family "Bacterial small subunit ribosomal RNA", at positions 63 to 779 of the family's 1533-position model. The record is from RNAcentral. Lineage: Bacteria; Bacillati; Bacillota; Bacilli; Caryophanales; Bacillaceae.
CGCGCGUACUGAUUAGAAGCUUGCUUCUAUGACGUUAGCGGCGGACGGGUGAGUAACACGUGGGCAACCUGCCUGUAAGACUGGGAUAACUUCGGGAAACCGAAGCUAAUACCGGAUAGGAUCUUCUCCUUCAUGGGAGAUGAUUGAAAGAUGGUUUCGGCUAUCACUUACAGAUGGGCCCGCGGUGCAUUAGCUAGUUGGUGAGGUAACGGCUCACCAAGGCAACGAUGCAUAGCCGACCUGAGAGGGUGAUCGGCCACACUGGGACUGAGACACGGCCCAGACUCCUACGGGAGGCAGCAGUAGGGAAUCUUCCGCAAUGGACGAAAGUCUGACGGAGCAACGCCGCGUGAGUGAUGAAGGCUUUCGGGUCGUAAAACUCUGUUGUUAGGGAAGAACAAGUACAAGAGUAACUGCUCGUACCUUGACGGUACCUAACCAGAAAGCCACGGCUAACUACGUGCCAGCAGCCGCGGUAAUACGUAGGUGGCAAGCGUUAUCCGGAAUUAUUGGGCGUAAAGCGCGCGCAGGCGGUUUCUUAAGUCUGAUGUGAAAGCCCACGGCUCAACCGUGGAGGGUCAUUGGAAACUGGGGAACUUGAGUGCAGAAGAGAAAAGCGGAAUUCCACGUGUAGCGGUGAAAUGCGUAGAGAUGUGGAGGAACACCAGUGGCGAAGGCGGCUUUUUGGUCUGUAACUGACGCUGAGGCGCGAAAGCGUGGAGAGCAUACAGGAUU